CAGCCGCCGCGGGAAUACGUAGGUGGCAAGCGUUGUCCGGAAUUAUUGGGCGUAAAGCGCGCGCAGGCGGAUAGGUCAGUCUGUCUUAAAAGUUCGGGGCUUAACCCCGUGAUGGGAUGGAAACUGCCAAUCUAGAGUAUCGGAGAGGAAAGUGGAAUUCCUAGUGUAGCGGUGAAAUGCGUAGAUAUUAGGAAGAACACCAGUGGCGAAGGCGACUUUCUGGACGAAAACUGACGCUGAGGCGCGAAAGCCAGGGGAGCGAACGGGAUUAGAUACCCCUGUAGUCCCUGUCUCUUAUACA
Molecule: ribosomal RNA, 301 nt
Filed under: uncultured bacterium
Lineage: Bacteria
Description: partial 16S ribosomal RNA
Rfam family: Bacterial small subunit ribosomal RNA
Source: RNAcentral